RNAcentral lists this ribosomal RNA (2787 nucleotides) under Escherichia coli. RNAcentral describes it as "bacterial LSU rRNA". It matches the Rfam family "Bacterial large subunit ribosomal RNA". The record is from RNAcentral. Lineage: Bacteria; Pseudomonadati; Pseudomonadota; Gammaproteobacteria; Enterobacterales; Enterobacteriaceae.
AGCGUACACGGUGGAUGCCCUGGCAGUCAGAGGCGAUGAAGGACGUGCUAAUCUGCGAUAAGCGUCGGUGAGGUGAUAUGAACCGUUAUAACCGGCGAUUUCCGAAUGGGGAAACCCAGUGUGUUUCGACACACUAUCAUUAACUGAAUCCAUAGGUUAAUGAGGCGAACCGGGGGAACUGAAACAUCUAAGUACCCCGAGGAAAAGAAAUCAACCGAGAUUCCCCCAGUAGCGGCGAGCGAACGGGGAGGAGCCCAGAGCCUGAAUCAGUGUGUGUGUUAGUGGAAGCGUCUGGAAAGGCGUGCGAUACAGGGUGACAGCCCCGUACACAAAAAUGCACAUAUUGUGAGCUCGAUGAGUAGGGCGGGACACGUGGUAUCCUGUCUGAAUAUGGGGGGACCAUCCUCCAAGGCUAAAUACUCCUGACUGACCGAUAGUGAACCAGUACCGUGAGGGAAAGGCGAAAAGAACCCCGGCGAGGGGAGUGAAAAAGAACCUGAAACCGUGUACGUACAAGCAGUGGGAGCCUCUUAAUGGGGUGACUGCGUACCUUUUGUAUAAUGGGUCAGCGACUUAUAUUCUGUAGCAAGGUUAACCGAAUAGGGGAGCCGAAGGGAAACCGAGUCUUAACUGGGCGUUAAGUUGCAGGGUAUAGACCCGAAACCCGGUGAUCUAGCCAUGGGCAGGUUGAAGGUUGGGUAACACUAACUGGAGGACCGAACCGACUAAUGUUGAAAAAUUAGCGGAUGACUUGUGGCUGGGGGUGAAAGGCCAAUCAAACCGGGAGAUAGCUGGUUCUCCCCGAAAGCUAUUUAGGUAGCGCCUCGUGAAUUCAUCUCCGGGGGUAGAGCACUGUUUCGGCAAGGGGGUCAUCCCGACUUACCAACCCGAUGCAAACUGCGAAUACCGGAGAAUGUUAUCACGGGAGACACACGGCGGGUGCUAACGUCCGUCGUGAAGAGGGAAACAACCCAGACCGCCAGCUAAGGUCCCAAAGUCAUGGUUAAGUGGGAAACGAUGUGGGAAGGCCCAGACAGCCAGGAUGUUGGCUUAGAAGCAGCCAUCAUUUAAAGAAAGCGUAAUAGCUCACUGGUCGAGUCGGCCUGCGCGGAAGAUGUAACGGGGCUAAACCAUGCACCGAAGCUGCGGCAGCGACACUAUGUGUUGUUGGGUAGGGGAGCGUUCUGUAAGCCUGUGAAGGUGGCCUGUGAGGGUUGCUGGAGGUAUCAGAAGUGCGAAUGCUGACAUAAGUAACGAUAAAGCGGGUGAAAAGCCCGCUCGCCGGAAGACCAAGGGUUCCUGUCCAACGUUAAUCGGGGCAGGGUGAGUCGACCCCUAAGGCGAGGCCGAAAGGCGUAGUCGAUGGGAAACAGGUUAAUAUUCCUGUACUUGGUGUUACUGCGAAGAGGGGACGGAGAAGGCUAUGUUGGCCGGGCGACGGUUGUCCCGGUUUAAGCGUGUAGGCUGAUUUUCCAGGCAAAUCCGGAAAAUCAAGGCUGAGGCGUGAUGACGAGGCACUACGGUGCUGAAGCAACAAAUGCCCUGCUUCCAGGAAAAGCCUCUAAGCAUCAGGUAACAUCAAAUCGUACCCCAAACCGACACAGGUGGUCAGGUAGAGAAUACCAAGGCGCUUGAGAGAACUCGGGUGAAGGAACUAGGCAAAAUGGUGCCGUAACUUCGGGAGAAGGCACGCUGAUAUGUAGGUGAAGCGACUUGCUCGUGGAGCUGAAAUCAGUCGAAGAUACCAGCUGGCUGCAACUGUUUAUUAAAAACACAGCACUGUGCAAACACGAAAGUGGACGUAUACGGUGUGACGCCUGCCCGGUGCCGGAAGGUUAAUUGAUGGGGUUAGCGGCAACGCGAAGCUCUUGAUCGAAGCCCCGGUAAACGGCGGCCGUAACUAUAACGGUCCUAAGGUAGCGAAAUUCCUUGUCGGGUAAGUUCCGACCUGCACGAAUGGCGUAAUGAUGGCCAGGCUGUCUCCACCCGAGACUCAGUGAAAUUGAACUCGCUGUGAAGAUGCAGUGUACCCGCGGCAAGACGGAAAGACCCCGUGAACCUUUACUAUAGCUUGACACUGAACAUUGAGCCUUGAUGUGUAGGAUAGGUGGGAGGCUUUGAAGUGUGGACGCCAGUCUGCAUGGAGCCGACCUUGAAAUACCACCCUUUAAUGUUUGAUGUUCUAACGUUGGCCCGUAAUCCGGGUUGCGGACAGUGUCUGGUGGGUAGUUUGACUGGGGCGGUCUCCUCCUAAAGAGUAACGGAGGAGCACGAAGGUUGGCUAAUCCUGGUCGGACAUCAGGAGGUUAGUGCAAUGGCAUAAGCCAGCUUGACUGCGAGCGUGACGGCGCGAGCAGGUGCGAAAGCAGGUCAUAGUGAUCCGGUGGUUCUGAAUGGAAGGGCCAUCGCUCAACGGAUAAAAGGUACUCCGGGGAUAACAGGCUGAUACCGCCCAAGAGUUCAUAUCGACGGCGGUGUUUGGCACCUCGAUGUCGGCUCAUCACAUCCUGGGGCUGAAGUAGGUCCCAAGGGUAUGGCUGUUCGCCAUUUAAAGUGGUACGCGAGCUGGGUUUAGAACGUCGUGAGACAGUUCGGUCCCUAUCUGCCGUGGGCGCUGGAGAACUGAGGGGGGCUGCUCCUAGUACGAGAGGACCGGAGUGGACGCAUCACUGGUGUUCGGGUUGUCAUGCCAAUGGCACUGCCCGGUAGCUAAAUGCGGAAGAGAUAAGUGCUGAAAGCAUCUAAGCACGAAACUUGCCCCGAGAUGAGUUCUCCCUGACUCCUUGA